This 440-nucleotide ribosomal RNA is filed under the name uncultured bacterium. RNAcentral describes it as "partial 16S ribosomal RNA". It matches the Rfam family "Bacterial small subunit ribosomal RNA", at positions 338 to 795 of the family's 1533-position model. The record is from RNAcentral.
CCUACGGGUGGCAGCAGUGGGGGAUAUUGGACAAUGGGGGAAACCCUGAUCCAGCGAUGCCGCGUGAGGGAAGAAGGUUUUCGGAUUGUAAACCUCUGUGGAGGGGGACGAUAAUGACGGUACCCCCUUAGGAAGCCACGGCUAACUACGUGCCAGCAGCCGCGGUAAUACGUAGGUGGCGAGCGUUGUCCGGAAUUACUGGGUGUAAAGGGAGUGUAGGCGGGUAAGUAAGUUAGCGGUGAAAUGUAUGGGCUCAACCCAUAGCCUGCCAUUGAAACUAUUUUUCUUGAGUGAAGUAGAGGCUAGCGGAAUACCUAGUGUAGAGGUGAAAUGCGUAGAUAUUAGGAAGAACACCAGUGGCGAAGGCGGCUAGCUGGGCUUUUACUGACGCUGAGGCUCGAAAGCAUGGGGAGCAAACAGGAUUAGAUACCCCAGUAGUC